RNAcentral lists this ribosomal RNA (154 nucleotides) under Cephaloziella hampeana. Its description in RNAcentral is "5.8S ribosomal RNA". It matches the Rfam family "5.8S ribosomal RNA". Rfam says of the family: 5.8S ribosomal RNA (5.8S rRNA) is a component of the large subunit of the eukaryotic ribosome. It is transcribed by RNA polymerase I as part of the 45S precursor that also contains 18S and 28S rRNA. Functionally, it is thought that 5.8S rRNA may be involved in ribosome translocation. Lineage: Eukaryota; Viridiplantae; Streptophyta; Jungermanniopsida; Jungermanniales; Cephaloziellaceae. The record is from RNAcentral.
CGACUCUCAGCAACGGAUAUCUCGGCUCUUGCAACGAUGAAGAACGCAGCGAAAUGCGAUACCUGGUGUGAAUUGCAAAAUUCCGCGAAUCAUCGAGUUUUUGAACGCAAGUUGCGCCCGAGGCUUGUCCCGAGGGCAUGCCUGCCUGAGCGUC